This 610-nucleotide ribosomal RNA is filed under the name uncultured bacterium. Its description in RNAcentral is "bacterial SSU rRNA". The stretch from base 1 to 544 matches the Rfam family "Bacterial small subunit ribosomal RNA", at positions 338 to 873 of the family's 1533-position model. The record is from RNAcentral.
CCUACGGGAGGCAGCAGUAGGGGAAUCUUCCACAAUGGACGAAAGUCUGAUGGAGCAACGCCGCGUGAGUGAUGAAGGUUUUCGGAUCGUAAAACUCUGUUGUAAGGGAAGAACAAGUACGAGAGGUAAUGCUCGUACCUUGACGGUACCUUGCGAGAAAGCCACGGCUAACUACGUGCCAGCAGCCGCGGUAAUACGUAGGUGGCAAGCGUUGUCCGGAAUUAUUGGGCGUAAAGCGCGCGCAGGCGGCCUUUUAAGUCUGAUGUGAAAGCCCCCGGCUCAACCGGGGAGGGUCAUUGGAAACUGGAAGGCUUGAGUACAGAAGAGAAGAGUGGAAUUCCAUGUGUAGCGGUGAAAUGCGUAGAGAUGUGGAGGAACACCAGUGGCGAAGGCGACUCUUUGGUCUGUAACUGACGCUGAGGCGCGAAAGCGUGGGGAGCAAACAGGAUUAGAUACCCUGGUAGUCCACGCCGUAAACGAUGAGUGCUAGGUNUUGGGGGGUUUCCGCCCGUCAGUGCUGAAGCUAACGCAUUAAGCNCNCGCGNGGAGACGCGCGAGNGUUGAGUAGAAGAGUAGNGNGNGNGAGNGCGAGACGACGACGAGGGAGAGG